CGAGCUUUCGUAGUCGGCAUCGGCCAUCCGCGACGCGAACUUUCACCCGGUUCGGGCGGUCCCGCGCGCGUCGCGGCGCGACUUAUGAAGUUGUUGCGCGUCGUACGCGCCGAUGUACCGUGCUCGAGGCCGAGAAAAGGUGGAGACGUUCGAGCGUACGUUUUUCGCGACUCUCGACGAUCGCGAGAAUGCGGCCGCGCGACUGAAGAAAUUGUGCGACUUGACUUUGGGGCCUGAGACGUUAUAAUCUUCGGAAUCUUCGGUUUCGGGCCAGUGCAAUUUUGCGGGCGGCGAACAGAUGAGGAUUAAUUCAGUCUGGAAUUUACGUACAUAAUUCUUUGGAUUGACGCUUACGUGCACGUAUGCGUGGCAAGGACGAUGUUCUCUCCUCGAAGAUGCUGAUCGCACGGGGCGAAUUGAAGUCGCGACGCGUCUAGCGUAAGGGUUGAUUUUAUUGAAGUCCCGAUCGCGCCCACGGGCAAACGCGUGCAAGCGAAUGGAAAAACUGUUUGGGAAAACAAAAGCUGCGGACUACCAAGAGCGACGCCGCCUCUAAUUUUAAUUUCAUCGGCCGUCCGGCCGGUCUAUAAACCACGCUUUGCGUUCUCGGUUGCUCGAUCGCGCGCGAUGAAACCAGCCGGCCGGAAGAAUUUCGAUGCUGUCCCCGGAAUUGCGGCAAGCCGCUCUUAACCCGGAUAGGGCCGCGAAGGAACAAGAAGAUCGUUGGCAAGAACGCCGUCAACCGUUGAAGAAAUUAGGUGAAAAUUACAAAUCGUGGACCAGAGGGUGCGUGAACGCCGUCGAGCGAUGGAUUUUGUGUUGCUGUUCCUCGUGAUGUUGCUGAGGCAAGAGGUCGCUGCUCUGAGGCUACUCCACAUAAAUGUCCCGGCGUACACCCUCAGGGGUAGGAGCGCGCUUCUGGAAUGCAGAUACGAUCUGGAGAGAGACCAUCUCUAUGGUAUCACAUGGUACAAGGACAACGAGGUAUUCUACAAAUAUGUACUUCGAGAGAAAAUUCCUCACAUCUAUGACGUCAAUGGUGUUAAAGUUGACAGAGGUCAUUCGAAUGAUCAAAUAGUGACACUGCAGGAUGCAAGCCUCCUUGCCAGCGGCACAUACAGAUGCGAAGUUAACGCAGAGGCGCCGAGCUUCACCACAGCCUUCGCCGAGGCGAGAAUGGAGGUCAUAGCACUACCUCAAGAAAAGCCAAAGAUAAUCGGAGAGGAAAAAGUAUACGCGAGUGGUGACGUGCUCGCGCUGAAUUGCACUAGUGACAAGUCCCACCCUCCUGCGAAACUUAAAUGGUUCGUUAAUGGCCAGCAGGUGAAGCCCGAUUCGGAAUUGGUGUUCGAGCAGCACGGGCUAUACUCGACGAUAUCGAGUCUGCUACUCGAGCUGGAGCCGGGUCAUCUCGCCAGCGACAAGAUAAACGUCAGGUGCGAGGCGACGGUGCGAUCGACUCACGAGGUCUCCGAACCGUUCGUCGACGUUCGCAACACCGAGGUCUUCGUUCGAGGUCUCGCCAGUGUAAUGACACCCUCGCUAUGUUUGUUGGUGGCCGUGGUAUUACAACAGUUUCUGCUGCCCGUGUAGACUUUUCCGAAGCGAGGAGGACAUCAAAACGACUCUAAAUGCGAGAGAAAACAGGGAGGAGGCGGAUCACGAAGGAAAUGGAAGGCGAGAGACGAACAACGUUUCGUGAUGAAAGACAAUCAUAUCUUAAUACGAAGCGAACUGCGACGAGAAAUCGGGGGAUUCGCGUCAGACUUGUCGAUCGUUAUCGCAAACGGCGAACGGCAGCGCGUCCUUGCGAUUUUUGCACGUCGCUGCGUCUUCUCGUUAAACUGGAGGAGAAUCGAGCGUUCAGUCGUUCAAGGCAUCGAUCGCUCGUCGUUGCCCUCGAGAGUACAUCCCCCCAUCUCUUCGAGACACACGUAAAAUCCUAGAUAGCCUAAUUAAUCGCGGAAGAAAAUACGCGAUAACCAAGUGGACACUCAAAGUUCUCGCACGUACGAGGAACCUCCUCCUCGACGCUCGUCUAUUCUGUUAGGGAUCGAUAUUUGCAUCGUUACUCGUGAAAUAGAUUUAAAUCGGCCGCACUCGGGGGUUCGAACUCUCGAUAACGAGAAGAAACUUUUUGAACUUUCCAUCUUAAUUAUAUAAGUUGGAAAAUUAACUGAUUUUACAGCCAUAAAAUAAAAUUUGUGAAUAAAAUUUCAUUAACAAAUUUUUAUGGAUUUAACAGAAAUUGCCAAUUGGGGCCAUCGUCUGACGAAUACUGCAUAAAACUGAGACAUUGAUUUCUGCCUCUUUUGCAAGUUUAAAUCUCGUGAAUCCUUAUCUUUUACAUAUCACUUUGUUAAUAGUUCAAAGAAGUAAGAGGCGCAGUCAUUCAGAAUCAUGGAUGAGGAAUGAGAUUUUGCACCGAAGAUGGAAGGAGAAAGAAGAAGAUGACUGACAUGGUCGAUCAUCAAAUAAUACAGGCCCCGCAUUGUUUCCCAUGAAAUAAAACGUGGAAUAGUUGAAAUCAGAAUUGAGUCACUUGAACUAUUGAUGAUUAAAUAAAUAAAAAAAUGGCCGCCAUAGAAUAAUAAUUCACUCGUAAAAAUGUGAAACAUGUUUGUCGUUGUAAAAUCCGAAUCGAGAAUUUACACGGAUAGCAAACGUAAUAUUCUCUCAAAUGGCACAAUGUCGAUCGGUACGUUUAUAAAAUCGCAAUGUUUAAUGUUUUAGCGACGCUUAUAUUAAACGUAAAAAUAUUUUUCUUUAUAAAUAUAAACCUUGCGCGAUGCACCCAGGCGUGUACGUUAAUAAAUGUGCAUGCAAACUAAACAACAUAAAUAUUGCAUAGGUAUCACCGUUUUAAAUUCGAUAUAAAAGAUUUAUGCGAUAAUCCUAAAUGCGCAUUAAUAAAACAUCCCGUAUAAGAAUAAUGAUUUACUAUUAUUUUACCAUCUGAAACUUUUAACUAACUUUCAACUAACUGAAAAAAAGCGGUCAUAAAUUCUACGAGCGUCUCGUUAAAGUUUCGCUUCCUUUUUGCGAUCUUUUAUUGCCGACGCGUAGGUGCCACAAUGCCACGGAAUCGUUUUCCAGACCACGUUUUCUGCGACUUUUCUUGUCCACUAUUGCGACAACGGCUACGAAGUCCGACCGAUACACCGAUCAAUCGAUGUUAUCAGAUUUUCACAACAUUUCUGUGACCCGUAUAUCGAUAAAUUAUUUUUUAUUUUCUUCUGACUUUAAUUAUAAA
This 3253-nucleotide unclassified non-coding RNA is filed under the name Pogonomyrmex barbatus (red harvester ant). Its description in RNAcentral is "uncharacterized LOC105424653, transcript variant X2". The record is from RNAcentral. Lineage: Eukaryota; Metazoa; Arthropoda; Insecta; Hymenoptera; Formicidae.